AGAGUUUGAUCCUGGCUCAGGACGAACGCUGGCGGCGUGCCUAACACAUGCAAGUCGAACGGGGCGAAGGGAGCUUGCUCCUGGAGCCUAGUGGCGGACGGGUGAGUAACGCGUGAGUAACCUGCCUUUCAGAGGGGGAUAACAUUCUGAAAAGGAUGCUAAUACCGCAUAAAGUCAGAGUGUCGCAUGGCGCACUGACCAAAGGAGCAAUCCGCUGAAAGAUGGACUCGCGUCCGAUUAGCUAGUUGGCGGGGUAAAGGCCCACCAAGGCGACGAUCGGUAGCCGGACUGAGAGGUUGAACGGCCACAUUGGGACUGAGACACGGCCCAGACUCCUACGGGAGGCAGCAGUGGGGGAUAUUGCACAAUGGGGGAAACCCUGAUGCAGCAACGCCGCGUGAGUGACGAAGGUCUUCGGAUUGUAAAACUCUGUUCUUGGUGAAGAUAAUGACGGUAGCCAAGGAGAAAGCUCCGGCUAACUACGUG
RNAcentral lists this ribosomal RNA (486 nucleotides) under uncultured Oscillospiraceae bacterium. RNAcentral's name for it is "bacterial SSU rRNA". It matches the Rfam family "Bacterial small subunit ribosomal RNA", at positions 8 to 507 of the family's 1533-position model. The record is from RNAcentral. Lineage: Bacteria; Bacillati; Bacillota; Clostridia; Eubacteriales; Oscillospiraceae.